UUGUGAAUCCCAGGGCGCUUCUCCUUUGGCACGGUGGUACUGAUAAUAGAAGUUAGUCAGGUGAUCGUGCAGGUGAAGAAGCUCCAGGGAAGCUAGCCCUGUCGUGCGUGCCAAAGGAGAAUUGCCCUGCGAUUCACCU
Molecule: microRNA precursor, 139 nt
Filed under: Hordeum vulgare
Lineage: Eukaryota; Viridiplantae; Streptophyta; Magnoliopsida; Poales; Poaceae
Description: mir-399 microRNA precursor family
Rfam family: mir-399 microRNA precursor family
About the family: mir-399 was identified in both Arabidopsis thaliana and Oryza sativa computationally and was later experimentally verified. mir-399 is thought to target mRNAs coding for a phosphatase transporter. The mature sequence is excised from the 3' arm of the hairpin.
Source: RNAcentral